GGUUCAUUCAAAUUUCUGCCCUAUCAACUUUCGAUGGUAGGAUAGUGGCCUACCAUGGUAUCAACGGGUAACGGGGAAUUAGGGUUCUAUUCCGGAGAGGGAGCCUGAGAAACGGCUACCACAUCCAAGGAAGGCAGCAGGCGCGCAAAUUACCCAAUCCCGACCGGGGAGGUAGUGACAAUAAAUACUGAUACAGGGCUCUUUUGGGUCUUGUAAUUGGAAUGAGUACAAUUUAAAUCCCUUAACGAGGAACAAUUGGAGGGCAAGUCUGGUGCCAGCAGCCGCGGUAAUUCCAGCUCCAAUAGCGUAUAUUAAAGUUGUUGCAGUUAAAAAGCUCGUAGUUG
This 344-nucleotide ribosomal RNA is filed under the name uncultured fungus. Its description in RNAcentral is "SSU rRNA". It matches the Rfam family "Eukaryotic small subunit ribosomal RNA", at positions 292 to 636 of the family's 1831-position model. The record is from RNAcentral. Lineage: Eukaryota; Fungi.